GAAGUGGAAGAAAAUGAGCAUGCCACUAAUAUUUCGAUCUUUUGAGGGCCAAGAUCUCAAGCAUGAAGUUCAUUUACUAUAAAGCUGGGCUAGGUUUCCCCACUUAUUGCCGCAACUUCACAUUGGACAUCACAAGGAUGGGUGAAGCCACGAAUCCUGAUUGAAGACCGGAAGAUGAUGAUGAUAACAAGAGCUCGAUGGAGGUGUGCAGUCCUAUUGAAGAUGGCCAAGUUCAGAUCCAAAGGCGAUGUAUUCCAUCCAGUGCCUGUGGCCGGGGAUCGCAUCCAGCCUGUGCGAUCUGUGUGGAGAACGCACCCUGCGGCCAACAAAAUCCUGUUAUAUAGGCAAUGGAAAAAGGCGGGAGGUGAGUCGCAGAAAGAAAAAUUGGCGCCAAUGUGGUUGUUCAGGAAAGGGCGGAGGCGGAGAUGGACAGUUGCGAUCUGUAUUUGUUAAUCGCGUUUGUGGAAAAACGACUAAUACUCGUUUUCCCAUAAACCUGGAAUU
Molecule: long non-coding RNA, 504 nt
Organism: Triticum dicoccoides
Lineage: Eukaryota; Viridiplantae; Streptophyta; Magnoliopsida; Poales; Poaceae
Exons: 3
Source: RefSeq, a predicted model, not a curated record